GCGGAGGGUGCCAACGGCUUGCCGCAGCCGUUGUCCGGGUUCGACUCCCGGCAAUCCGCA
RNAcentral lists this transfer RNA (60 nucleotides) under Caudoviricetes sp. Its description in RNAcentral is "tRNA-Ser". The record is from RNAcentral. Lineage: Duplodnaviria; Heunggongvirae; Uroviricota; Caudoviricetes.